This 253-nucleotide ribosomal RNA is filed under the name uncultured bacterium. RNAcentral describes it as "partial 16S ribosomal RNA". It matches the Rfam family "Bacterial small subunit ribosomal RNA", at positions 524 to 776 of the family's 1533-position model. The record is from RNAcentral.
UACGUAGGGGGCAAGCGUUGUCCGGAUUUAUUGGGCGUAAAGAGCGUGUAGGCGGCCAUUCAGGUCAGCUGUGAAAACUCGAGGCUCAACCUCGAGACGUCGGUUGAAACCGUUUGGCUAGAGUCCGGAAGAGGAGAGUGGAAUUCCCGGUGUAGCGGUGAAAUGCGCAGAUAUCGGGAAGAACACCCGUGGCGAAGGCGGCUCUCUGGGAAGGUACUGACGCUGAGACGCGAAAGCGUGGGGAGCGAACAGG